AUCAGAUCCCAUUACAGAUGGUUGUGAGCCACCAUGUGGUUGUUGGAAUUUGAACUCAGGACCUCUGGAAGAGCAGUCAGUGCUCUUAACCGCUGAGCCAUCUCUCCAGCCUGGACUUUACCCUUUUCACCUAAGCUAAUCUGUCUUCACUUUGUGUGUGUGUGUGUGUGUGUGUGUGUGUGUGUGUGUGUGUGUGUGUGCGCAUGUGCACAUGCAGAUAAGUGAGACAUACUUGCACAUGUACAGUCUUCAGACAGGACCUCUUACUGGACCCGGAGCUCGAUUCAGCCAGACUGGCUUGCCAGUGAUUUUUAGGUGUCCGCCUGCCUCUGUUUCCCCAGCCUUGGGAUUUCAGGUGGAUGCUGCCACGCACGGCUUUUAUGUGGGUGCUUGGAAUAUGGACUCAGGUCCUCGUUCUUGCAAUGUAGCAAUGCAGUAAUGUACACAAGUGCAUGCUGGUGUACCCACUGAGCCGCCUCUCCAAGCCUGCAGGACGACCCUUUCCCUUCCUUGUUUAUGUGAUGCUGGGGGUUGAACUCGGGCUCUGUGAAGGCUAAGCACCGAAGUCUACCAGCUGAGCCACACUCCCAGCUCCAAGGACACACCGCAAAUCCACAGUCUUGAGAUCUCUUAAAAGAAGUGAAACAAAGAUCUCAGAGGUGUGAGCAGAGGGUGGGCCCACUAGCGAGUUCUAGAGGGCUGGCCCUUUUUCUUUGAGGCUGGGUGUCUGGAACCCUCCUGCAUCUCUGAUGCUCCUUCUCCUUCCCAUGUCUUCCUAGCAUCCUCCAUCAAUAGCAGGAGGACACCCAGAGUAGACACUAGGGGAGUCCCAUCAACGACCCUCCCUGCUAGACAACUAGGAGGAUGGGGAAAACAGCUUCAGACACUAUCAAGGAAUGAAUGCGCCUGACUUUGUCAUUCUGGACUUACUCCCCAGGACUCUAAUAGCAUGACAUGCCACCACAGUAGUGUGUCCCUAACUUAGAAGGACUGACGGAUUCCUCAAAAACUGUAGGGCAAGCUGGAGAGAUGGCUCGGAGGUUGAGAGCACUGACUGCUCUUCCAGAGGUCCUGAGUUCAAAUUCCAGCAACCACAUGGUGGCUCACAGCUAUCUGUAAUGGGAUCUGAUGCCCUCUUCUGGUGUGUCUGAAGACAGUGACAUAUAUGAGUGUACUCAUAUAUAAUAAAUAAAUCUUUAAAAACAAAACAAAAAAACUGUAGGGCACUGUUCAGACAGAAGGGUGUGGAAGGCCCUGGAUGACUUGGCUAAGGUUACUUUGUCACAGGGUCUGUGUGAUAGACACUCAUGGCUGUUUCCUCUCUCUCUCUCUCUCUCUCUCUCUCUCUCUCUCUCUCUCUCUCUCCCUGAGACAGGGUAUCACUAUGUAACCUUGGUGGUCUGGAACUUGCUAUAUAAACCAGGUUGAUCUCAAACUCACAGAGAUCACCCCUCCACCAGCUGUGAUUAAAGGCAUGUGUGUGUGUGUGUGUGUGUGUGUGUGUGCGUGUGUGUCUGUCUGUCUGUCUCUGUGUCUCUGUGUGUAGGAGUGUGUGUGUACAUGUAGUGGUCUAUUUGUAGGAGGUCUAUGUGUGUAUAGGGGGUCUAUGUAUGUAGAAGAGUCUAUGUAUGGUUUAUGUCUAUAGGAGUCUGUGUAGGUUGAUAUUGAGAAUCUUCUUCCUUUAUGGCUCUUUUUUAAAACAUUAUUUUUAUGUGUAAAUGUGUUUUGCCUGUACAUAAGUCUAUGCAUCAUGUGCAUGCAGUGCCCAAAGAGGCCAGAAGCAUAUAUCCAAUUCAUCUGGACUGAGCUACCGAUGAUAGCAAACUGCCACGUGUGUGCUGGAAUCGAGCCCAGCUCCUCUGAACACUGAGCCAUCCCUCCAGCCCCCACUAUGGCUCACUUUAUUUUUUUGAGAUAGGGUCUCUCACUGAACCCAGAGCUCACCAGUUUGGCUAGCAAGCCCCCAGUGUCCAUCUGUCUCUGCCUCUUCAUCUCUGGGGUUACAGAUUCUUGCCCACACCAGCUUUUACGUUGCUGGAGAGCUGCAUUAUCAUCCAUACACAGAAAGCCCUUUGCCCACAGAAUCAUCUCCUCAGCCCUGGUCACACUGUUCUUUGGCUCAGUCUGUGGGGUGCCAACAUUGCCUCUCAGCGCCAUCCUCCCGGGUGUAUAUUUCCUCAGUUGCACCACCCUGGGGCACGGGCCCUGCAGUUAGAAACAACGGGAGGCUGGGGGAUUAGCUGUCCCCUAAGAGCAACAGUUCUGUGUAGUCCCAUCAUGCAAUGCGGCACACGCGCUGGGCCAGCCCCUCCGUUAGCCUCUUUUUGGUCAUCCCAUGGGUGAGUCACAGCUUCUUAAUCUGUCCAUUUUUAGAAAGAUGCAGAUGGGAUUUGGCGUGUAGCUGUGAGGGUAAAAGAAUGUCGGGAGUGAGGGAGAGUUUUGCAACACAAACCCCAAAGAAGAAGUGUGAGCCUCUUCAGCUUCCUCCUGACAGGGAGGAUCAGUGUCACCACACAGCACUGGGGGCCAGCAGGUGGUGGGAGUAGAGAUGGGCUCUGUUGCACCAUAGCGCUCGCUCGGUGCUUUUCCCUUCUGGGUGGACGGGUGAAGUCUGGCGCUGGGUGGGUGGAAGUCGCCCACCCUCCUGUGCAAACAGGGCCGCUCAGCUUCUGCUCUUCCAAGCACAUGGGGCCUGGGUUCUGGAAGAAACUCCUUCUUGGACCACAUUGCCGAAGAUCCAGGAUGGGAAAGCAGGAGGCAUGGGAGCCAGAUCGUGAAAAAUCACGUUCCUUUUUAGGGCUGGAUGGAUGCCGGAGUGAAGGAGGGCUAGCAAGGAAGCACAGAAACAGCAGGUGCAUGGAAAACUUGAGGCCCCUUCAGUCCCGCUUUCCCCACCCACUUUGUGCAGCCAAUCCUCAGGUUACCUCUCCCUGUUCUUCACACACAAAUGGCCCUUCCCAACCCUCACAUCACAAAGCUCCGUCACCAGCAGCCCAGGCUCCCAACGCUCCUGAAAGGUAGACUUUCCCGGGCUGGAGAGAUGGCUCAGCCAUCAAAGGCUAAGCUCACAAUCAAAAAUGUAAGGUAGGUUUUCCUGCCCAGGCUUCUCCUGUCCUCUCCUCAGUCCUUCUCUGCUAAGUCUAAGAGAAGCAAUGAUGUCCUCCCUUUUCUCUUUGUCUUUUUUUUUCCUCCCAAAGGGCCUGUUGCUCCACGUAUGACGCACUGACACUCUUUGUUCUGGGUGUUGCUCAGUCAGGGGCAGAGGAGUGCCUAGGUGUGUGCUUGUGUGCUCCAUGUACAUCACACACACACACACACACACACACACACACACACACACACACUUGCACCAACACAUCCAGCUUUCUUGUUCCUCCUCUUCCACAUUAUCUGUGGAAGAUUAUUCCAGAGGUCGUGAGCUCAAGUCUCAGCAACCACAUGGUGGCUCGGCUCACAACUAUCUGUAAUGGGAUCGGAUUGAAGAGAGCGACGGUGUACUAUGUAGAAAACAAAUUAAUAAAUCUUUAAAAAAUAUAUCACGCAGAAAGCAAAACGAUAACAAAGGAAAAAAAAAAAAAGAAGGCAACUUGCGGAAGUCAGUUCUUUUCCUCCCCCAUGCGGGUAUCAGGGAUCGAACUCAGGUGAUCAGGCUUGGCAGCAAGCACCUUUCCUUGCUGAGCCCUCUCACCUGCCCUGUGCCCAGCUCUUUUACACGGGAUUUGAGAACUGAGCUCAGGUCCUUCUGCUUUACCAGCAAGCACUUUACCAACUGAGAUGUGGAGACAUGGUGGUGCCUCACGGACUCCAGAAAACAACUGGGGCCUCAUUGUACCUCAGAGGCUCCUAUGAAAGGAAGCUCGCUAUUUCUAAACAUGCUGAGUCCCCCUGCUGCACACCAGUAUUGGGAUCACCCCGAACAAGGCUGCCUAUCCAGUUAGUUAUGCAAACAACAUCUUCCAGUCAUGUUGUAGCUGUGGUGCGCCCCACAGGGUGCCGUGGAAAGAAGAAAACUGGUUUCUGAGUCAGGAAAGACUCCCCUGGCGUUUUUGAGGGCAGGAGUGGGGUCUCAUCUAGAGCUUGGCGUUCCCAUGAUGCACCUCUCAAUCAAGCUGCUUUGCAUACGUCCCUGUGUAGUUGUCAUUUAUGGGGCCAGAAGUAGGACAAAGCUUCGGAGACGAGCAGAUAGUCAGGAAAUCCUGUACAGACCCCAGCUGCAAUGCACGGUAUGAACCAAGAGUUCCUCCCGGGAACAGAAAGUACGCAUGCUCCACCUUUUUCAGUGGCAAGGCCCUCAGGGGUGGGGGCGGGGAGUCAACCUGUAGAGCGUCCCGAGUGAGGUUGAACUAAGGCAGGAGUGGGGAGACUUGACACUGGGCGGCACCUGGGCACAGCUCUCCCGGACAUCCCCCGCGUAUCUGUGAGGACUGGGCCUUUCCCAAGGCUGCCCAUUGCGUUUGCCUCUGGGCAUCCUGUUCCUUUGCUGACGACUUUCUGUGCAUACUGACGUCACAGAAGGUUGCAGCACAGCGCAUACCUGUGGGCAAGACUGACUCCAUUAACCUGUGUCUAGGUCACGUACCUCGGCCUCUAUGUGGCUGCGCAUCUGCAGACCUUCUUCUCCAGUUUUUUCUGUCAGCUGCCUGUGGUCUCCGCUCCUAGAAGCCGAAUGACGGGUGCCUGGUAACCGGAUGCCUCACACACCUGCCAGAACGAUCCCACCAGCUGGGAGGCCGCCACCUCUUGAGGAGGAAGGACACACCAGCUUACCAACCGGUUCGAAUAUUACUAAGAUCACAGCAGAGGUGCUCAGAGAACAAGGCCCUGUGGCCUGAAGCAAAGACUGCCUAUGCUCUUCCUGCAGCCUGGACUCCAUCACGGUCUGAGGUGAUCCAGAGCAGACGGCCUCAGCCCAGUGUAUUACAGAAGAAGCUGUAACCUCUUCCUCCCUUAGCUGCUUCUUGUCUGGUAUUUGGCCACUGGUAUGAUUUAAAUAACCAACGUAAUCCCACACUCUUGUCUUAUGCUACCCGGGACUUUGUCAGGGUUAAAAUUCUGCGUGGAAAAGUCCUCGAACCCAGUCCCACUGGGUUGGUCAUCUUGCAGCUCCAGGUGAAGAGGAAACUCUUUCUCCUGUUUUCUUGGGGGCGAGAAUUGGAAAAGAGGACAUUUGUGCAGGACUUGGGUAAUGGCACCUGUCCCCUUCCCCUCACUUCCCAGCCAGGAUAUGCUGGUCGGUCGGUCACUCCGCACUGAGAAUCUGAGCCUCCCCUUCUGCCUCUCAAAACCACAGACAGACCCUUCAGAUGUCUGAAGUUAUCUCAGAGCACACUUCCUGGCUGCCAUUGCCUCGUUCCCCAUUGAAACGGAAAGCAAAGCUCAUGAUUUUUAACAGAGGGAGUUUCCACACCCAGCGCACCCUGCUCAACAUGGUCUCACCGCAGCCCACCCACCCAGCCCUGGCUUCUUCCUGCAUCAACCGUCUGUGAGUUCCCAUGUCUGACAGCCAGCCCGCCUCUCCCCUGGUGGCCUGGGCUGAGGCCGUCUGCUCUGGAUCACCUCGGGCUGUGAUGGAGUCCAGGCCGCAGGAAGAGCAUAGUUAGUCUUUGCUUCAGGCCACAGGGCCUUUUCCUCUGAGGAGAGCCUUUGCUAUAAUCUUACUCAGCAGCAUUCAAGCCGAUGAGUCCCAGACUGCUGGCUCUCAGCGCUCUCCACCCAGCAGGUGUCACUUUGGGGCUGAGGAUGUGGCUGGUGUGAGUACCUUCCUAGGGAGCACAGAGCCUCGGGGUCAGAGCUCAGCGUCACAUAAACUAAGCAUGUUGGUAUACGUGUGUAAUCCCAGCAGUCGGGAGAUGGAGGCAGGAAAGCUAGAGUUCAAGGUCACCUCAUCCUUGGCUUCACAGCAAGCUUCAGCAAGCCUCAGUCCAAUUUGGCAUAUUUGAGACUUUGUCUCAUAAAUAAAUAAGUAAAUCAAUAAAUAUCCCCUAAAA
Molecule: non-coding RNA, 5987 nt
Organism: Rattus norvegicus (Norway rat)
Lineage: Eukaryota; Metazoa; Chordata; Mammalia; Rodentia; Muridae
Source: RefSeq, a predicted model, not a curated record